AUUUUCUACGUCCAAACUAAAACUAAAUUUGCUAUAAUAUUGCACGUUUAGUAUUCAAUUGGACCACAUUAAAAUUCGUGGCUUGCUAAUCCUCUUAAGGUUAUCGUGUGAAAGAUAAAAUCCUUAAUAAAGUAAAGCACACAAAUUUUUAAA
Molecule: small nucleolar RNA, 153 nt
Organism: Teleopsis dalmanni
Lineage: Eukaryota; Metazoa; Arthropoda; Insecta; Diptera; Diopsidae
Source: RefSeq, a predicted model, not a curated record